ACGUUGCUCGGAAUUACUGGGCGUAAAGCGCGUGUAGGUGGGUCGAUAAGUCGGGCGUGAAAUCCCUGGGCUCAACCCGGGAACUGCGCUCGAAACUGCCGAUCUUGAGCGCCGGAGAGGGUGGCGGAAUUCCUGGUGUAGAGGUGAAAUUCGUAGAUAUCAGGAGGAACACCGGUGGCGAAGGCGGCCACCUGGACGGCUACUGACACUGAGACGCGAAAGCGUG
Molecule: ribosomal RNA, 226 nt
Filed under: uncultured bacterium
Lineage: Bacteria
Description: partial 16S ribosomal RNA
Rfam family: Bacterial small subunit ribosomal RNA
Source: RNAcentral